GAUGAACGCUGGCGGCGUGCCUAAUACAUGCAAGUCGAGCGAACAGACGAGGAGCUUGCUCCUCUGACGUUAGCGGCGGACGGGUGAGUAACACGUGGAUAACCUACCUAUAAGACUGGGAUAACUUCGGGAAACCGGAGCUAAUACCGGAUAACAUGUUGAACCGCAUGGUUCAACAGUGAAAGACGGUUUUGCUGCCACUUAUAGAUGGAUCCGCGUCGCAUUAGCUAGUUGGUAAGGUAACGGCUUACCAAGGCAACGAUGCGUAGCCGACCUGAGAGGGUGAUCGGCCACACUGGAACUGAGACACGGUCCAGACUCCUACGGGAGGCAGCAGUAGGGAAUCUUCCGCAAUGGGCGAAAGCCUGACGGAGCAACGCCGCGUGAGUGAAGAAGGUCUUCGGAUCGUAAAACUCUGUUAUUAGGGAAGAACAAAUGUGUAAGUAACUAUGCACGUCUUGACGGUACCUAAUCAGAAAGCCACGGCUAACUACGUG
This 497-nucleotide ribosomal RNA is filed under the name uncultured bacterium. Its description in RNAcentral is "partial 16S ribosomal RNA". It matches the Rfam family "Bacterial small subunit ribosomal RNA", at positions 28 to 507 of the family's 1533-position model. The record is from RNAcentral.